CUUUCUUCGGCGGGAACUUUCUCAACGUUCAAGAAUCUUCUCCUCAGAUUUUCUAAAGAUUAAUUUCGACGAUAUAAUUAUUCAAGGUACAAAGUUUUUGCUGAUAUACAGUUCAACCAAUUAUAUAGAUUCUAUUUUUUGUAAAGUUUUAAAGUUUAAGGUUAUUUUAUUCAGAAAAAUACAGCAGACAAAAUUGUCAGGUUAUUUUCACUAGAGGAAAUGCUGAAAAGUCAAAAUGGGUAAAGAAAGGCAGUUUCUUCAGAUCCACAAUAACAUUAAAGCAAGGGAUCCAUCAGGCCACGAUUUACAAAGGAUCCUGUUUGGGAAUCCCUUUCUACAGAUUCUGAUGCCCUCCAGCACACCAUUACAGCGCAGCUGGUGCAUGACCAGAGGAUUCUCCAUCGCCCCGGGAGUCUUAGUCUCAUUUGGAAUCAGGCAACGCACAAAAUGAGGCUGCCAGCUACAUCUCUUGCUGUGACGAGGUGGAACAUUCCGAUCCACACUCUUCCCUGAGACGGAGGCGGCUCAUUCUCAGCUGUUUAGGCCCUCGGCUCACCAUAAGGUCAAUGACUUGACCCAUUGUGCAUCAUGACCAUUGAGCAGGCUAUUAAUGGAGACUGGGGAGGUCUGUUUGUUUGAUUUACUUCAACAAGUGUCCAGCUGGAUGUUCCAUGAUGCUUUGGAUCCUUUGAUUGAAUUGCUUGUCAUUUCUUCGUUAUCCCUUGCUCAAGAGCCAGCUGUAGGAUGGAAGCAGAGAAUGCAGCCACACAAACAUUGUGCUCCCUGCUGGAGAAGACUGAACACACUUUUGAAGUGCAGAUGAAGGAUCCUGUUGGGAAAUCCCUUUCUGCAGAUUCUGAUGCCCUCCAGCACACCGUUACAGCGCAGCUGGUGCAUGACCAGAGGAUUCUCCAUCGCCCCGGGAUUCUUAGUCUCAUUGGGGAUGAUGCAGCGCACAAAGUGAGGACUCCUCCUUUAUUCAACACGUCUGUCGGAGCCACUGCAUCACCUUGAGCAACAACGGGCAUUUGUCACAUCCGUCCUGCCCAAUGAGUAGUUCUGUACUGGACUGUUCACUUUUCUGAAACAUUCAUUUGGGACCAUUGGAAAAGAGUAAUGAAUUCAAAGAGACACCAGGUUUUGAUGGGAGAUGGGAGAACUUCAUUCCUCAUCAUGUCCUUUCUGUUCAAGGGAGAGAAAAAAAUGAUCCUGUUGGGGAAGCCCUUUCUGCAGAUUCUGAUGCCCUCCAGCACACCGUUACAGCGCAGCUGGUGCAUGACCAGAGGAUUCUCCAUCGCCCCGGGAGUCUUAGUCUCAUUGGGGAUGAUGCAGCGCAC
This is a long non-coding RNA of Onychostoma macrolepis, 1337 nucleotides long. RefSeq lists it as uncharacterized. NCBI's taxonomy places the organism in Eukaryota, Metazoa, Chordata, Actinopteri, Cypriniformes, Cyprinidae. The record is from RefSeq and is a predicted model, not a curated record. The transcript has 9 exons.